This is a long non-coding RNA of Sorghum bicolor (sorghum), 362 nucleotides long. RefSeq lists it as uncharacterized. The record is from RefSeq and is a predicted model, not a curated record. The transcript is spliced from 3 exons. NCBI's taxonomy places the organism in Eukaryota, Viridiplantae, Streptophyta, Magnoliopsida, Poales, Poaceae.
CAGUUCUUACUGCUUUUGUUGAUAGGUGGAGACCAGAGACGCACACCUUCCACACACCUUGUGGAGAAAUGACUAUCACAUUGCAGGAUGUGAAGAUGAUAUUGUGUUUGAGUUUGUCUGGUCAUCCGGUGACUGGGGUCGUCGAUGAGUCUACUUGGCUAGACUUGGUACAGGAGUUUUGUGGUAGGCGGCCAUCAGAUGCUGAAGUUAAAGGCACCAAGAAGACCUCAGGAGUGUCGACGUCUUGGAUUACGCAGAACUUUGGUGCAGGACCACCGCCUGAUGCUCCAGAUCAUGAGGUGGAGAUGUAUGCAAAGGUGUGGUUGUGGCACUUCUUGGGGGGUUUCUUGUUCCCUGAUUCC